Long non-coding RNA from Drosophila teissieri, 498 nucleotides. RefSeq lists it as uncharacterized. NCBI's taxonomy places the organism in Eukaryota, Metazoa, Arthropoda, Insecta, Diptera, Drosophilidae. The record is from RefSeq and is a predicted model, not a curated record. The transcript has 2 exons.
GGGAACUCCCUUUAGACAUUUCAAAAAAUCGAUUUUUUUUUUACUGUCUUAAUCGAUAGGUAUAUGCUUCGAGAAUAUAAUUCCGAAGUUUCAAAAUUCUAUUUUCAAAAUUGUGGAAGUUAUGCGACUUUAAAGCGGCGCGCUCGACCGGUGCGUGAGACAUCUCCCGAUUAGCGCGCGCAGAACGUCGGCACAGCGAAAGCACGAAAGAGGCCCGAAGUGCUCGUAGGGAGGCAAAUCUCCUUGAAAAUGAGUUUUUUGAGGAAGAAGAAGGUUCGCUUUACGAACCUGGUGGAGCUGAUUGACGUGUUACUGCCACCAUCGUGUCCACUAUUGAAUAAGAAUUGCGGUCAGGAUCGCCCACGCAGAUUUCCAUGUCAGCGGCGAGGCGAGAUACAAGAUCAGCUAAAACUUCAAUUAUUUAUAAUUUUGCAAACAAUGAAAAUGUUUUUUUCUUAUCUUUAAACAUUGUCCUGAAUAUAUAUAAUACCAAUUUGA